RNAcentral lists this ribosomal RNA (433 nucleotides) under uncultured bacterium. RNAcentral's name for it is "partial 16S ribosomal RNA". It matches the Rfam family "Bacterial small subunit ribosomal RNA", at positions 29 to 507 of the family's 1533-position model. The record is from RNAcentral.
AACGAACGCUGGCGGCAGGCCUAACACAUGCAAGUCGAGCGAGGACUUCGGUUCUAGCGGCGGACGGGUGAGUAACGCGUGGGAAUGUGCCCUUCUCUACGGAAUAGCCCUGGGAAACUGGGAGUAAUACCGUAUACGCCCUAUUGGGGAAAGAUUUAUCGGAGAAGGAUCAGCCCGCGUUGGAUUAGGUAGUUGGUGGGGUAAUGGCCUACCAAGCCGACGAUCCAUAGCUGGUUUGAGAGGAUGAUCAGCCACACUGGGACUGAGACACGGCCCAGACUCCUACGGGAGGCAGCAGUGGGGAAUCUUAGACAAUGGGGGCAACCCUGAUCUAGCCAUGCCGCGUGAGUGAUGAAGGCCUUAGGGUUGUAAAGCUCUUUCUGCUGGGAAGAUAAUGACGGUACCAGCAGAAGAAGCCCCGGCUAACUCCGUG